This 253-nucleotide ribosomal RNA is filed under the name uncultured bacterium. Its description in RNAcentral is "partial 16S ribosomal RNA". It matches the Rfam family "Bacterial small subunit ribosomal RNA", at positions 524 to 776 of the family's 1533-position model. The record is from RNAcentral.
UACGGGGGGGGCAAGCGUUGUUCGGAAUUACUGGGCGUAAAGGGCUCGUAGGCGGCCAACUAAGUCGGAUGUGAAAUCCCCAGGCUCAACCUGGGAACUGCAUCCGAUACUGGAUGGCUUGAAUUCGGGAGAGGGAUGCGGAAUUCCAGGUGUAGCGGUGAAAUGCGUAGAUAUCUGGAGGAACACCGGUGGCGAAGGCGGCAUUCUGGACCGACAUUGACGCUGAGGAGCGAAAGCCAGGGGAGCAAACGGG